GUAACUUCGGGAGAAGGGGGGCCCGGAGCGUGAACUCGACUUGCUUGAGUGAGCGUGCAAGGGCCGCAGAGACCAGAGAGAAGCGACUGUUUACUAAAAACACAGGUCCGUGCGAAGUCGCAAGACGAUGUAUACGGACUGACGCCUCCCCGGUGCUGGAAGGUUAAGAGGACGGGUUAGCCGUAAGGCGAAGCUCAGAAUUUAAGCCCCAGUAAACGGCGGUGGUAACUAUAACCAUCCUAAGGUAGCGAAAUUCCUUGUCGGGUAAGUUCCGACCUGCACGAAUGGCGUAACGACUUCCCUGCUGUCUCAACCGCGAACUCGGCGAAAUUGCACUACGAGUAAAGAUGCUCGUUACGCGCAGCAGGACGGAAAGACCCCGGGACCUUUACUAUAGCUUGGUAUUGGCGUUCGGAGUGGCUUGUGUAGGAUAGGUGGGAGACUAUGAAACUUUAACGCCAGUUAGAGUGGAGUCGUCCUUGAAAUACCACUCUGGUCACUUUGGACGUCUAACUUCGGUCCGUAAUCCGGACCAGGGACAGUGCCUGGUGGGUAGUUUAACUGGGGCGGUUGCCUCCCAAAAUGUAACGGAGGCGCCCAAAGGUUCCCUCAGCCUGGUUGGCAAUCAGGUGUCGAGUGUAAGUGCACAAGGGAGCUUGACUGUGAGACCGACGGGUCGAACAGGGACGAAAGUCGGGACUAGUGAUCCGGCAGUGGCUUGUGGAAGCGCUGUCGCUCAUCGGAUAAAAGGUACCCCGGGGAUAACAGGCUGAUCUUGCCCAAGAGUCCAUAUCGACGGCAUGGUUUGGCACCUCGAUGUCGGCUCGUCGCAUCCUGGGGCUGGAGUCGGUCCCAAGGGUUGGGCUGUUCGCCCAUUAAAGCGGCACGCGAGCUGGGUUUAGAACGUCGUGAGACAGUUCGGUCCCUAUCCGCUGCGCGCGCAGGAAACUUGAGAAGGGCCGUCCUUAGUACGAGAGGACCGGGACGGACUAACCUCUGGUGUGCCAGUUGUUCCGCCAGGAGCACGGCUGGUUAGCUACGUUGGGAAGGGAUAACCGCUGAAAGCAUCUAAGCGGGAAGCCUGCUUCAAGAUGAGGUUUCCAUCACUCCUUGAGAGUGGAGAGGCUCCCAGUAGACCACUGGGUGAUAGGCCGGUAGUGGAAGCGGGGACUAAAGACCCGUGGAGCUGACCGGUACUAAUAAGCCGAUCAC
Molecule: ribosomal RNA, 1212 nt
Filed under: metagenome
Description: bacterial LSU rRNA
Rfam family: Bacterial large subunit ribosomal RNA
Source: RNAcentral